This 493-nucleotide ribosomal RNA is filed under the name uncultured bacterium. Its description in RNAcentral is "bacterial SSU rRNA". It matches the Rfam family "Bacterial small subunit ribosomal RNA", at positions 30 to 504 of the family's 1533-position model. The record is from RNAcentral.
CGAACGCUGGCGGCAUGCCUAAUACAUGCAAGUCGAGCGGACCCGAGGUGCUUGCACCUCAAUGGGUCAGCGGCGGACGGGUGAGUAACACGUGGGCAACCUGCCCAACAGACUGGGAUAACUCCGGGAAACCGGAGCUAAUACCGGAUAUUCUCUUUUCACCACCUGGUGAAAAGAGAAAAGGCGGUUUCGGCCGCCACUAUUGGAUGGGCCCGCGGCGCAUUAGCUAGUUGGUGAGGUAAGGGCUCACCAAGGCGACGAUGCGUAGCCGACCUGAGAGGGUGAUCGGCCACACUGGAACUGAGACACGGUCCAGACUCCUACGGGAGGCAGCAGUAGGGAAUCAUCCGCAAUGGGCGAAAGCCUGACGGUGCAAUGCCGCGUGAGUGAUGAAGGUUUUCGGAUCGUAAAGCUCUGUUGUGAGGGAAGAACAAGUUCGGGAGGAAAUGCCCGAGCCGUGACGGUACCUCACCAGAAAGCCACUGCUAACUAC